UGUGUGUCUUUGUGUCAGCCUGUAGGCAAAGUUUGCAUCAUGAUUGACCUAUUUUGAAAUUUUAUUCUUAUUGCCUUUUAGCCUGUAAGUUAGAAAAUGUCACAUGCAAAAGAAACAUUUGUAUAAGUUGCUGCUGUAAUUCUUUUAUUUGAGUCUCAUUUGUUGUUUUGUAUCGAAAUUAUCACGUGUCUCCUCCCAACCCCUUCCUGCUCCCAGCCCUAAACCCUCAGAAAAUACCAGAAAGACCACAUGACCCAAUGCAAUAAAUUUUCAGAUUAGAGUUAUGAUGGUGGUAGGAUGAGCUGGUUUUAAUUUGAGGAAAUACCAAAACCAAGAUUUUUUCUCCCUACCCCUCUGUGGCACCAUUGUUUCCUCUCUGUCUGUGUCAAACCAGGUGAGCUUCUUAAAAGCCUCACCCAGCACUACACGGUAAACACAAAGUGUGAAUAUGAUACAACCCUCUGCCCUUCCUCCACUCUCCUCCCACCUGACUGUUACUGCAAGGUUUGGUGUGGAUCCGAUGCCAAGUAAAUACAGGGCCAGCAUCGUUGGUAUCGAUACUGCAGACUAACUUUUCAGUUGUCGGUGGGUUCAGAAUAAAGGUUAGGUGCUGUAUGGGUCAGGUCUGGAAUGAAGAUGGGAUUGUCAAUGCUCACAGGGUCUAAGAAUCACACUAAUUCCUGGGUAGGUUUUCUGUAGGUCAGAUGAGCAAGAAUCUGGAAAUCACAAUGUGAGGGAAAACCUCCUUAAACAGUAUUAAUUUUUGACAGUUUGGUCAAUAUUUGUGCAAAAUUUCUGUCACUGAAAUAGGAAAUGCUCUUAUAAGAAGCAUUUUUGCAACAAAUUUUUUGCUUACUUUUGUAAUGUUGAAAAUGAUCUUUUAAAAAAAAUCCCUCCAUUGUUAUUGUCUUUAAUAAUAAAGACUGAUGUCUUUUCAGAGCAGAGCGCAUGUUUAAAUUUUAAAGACCGCAGUCAAUAGUUUUUGUAUAGUGGUGAGAAGCUAAAAUCCUGAUUGUGAUUAAUGAUUAAUUCAUUUUGUAGCCCUACUACAGCACUAGUCUUUGUAACUGGCUCAUGGGUUCAGUAUCUUCCUGCUUGCAGUCUGAUCAUCAGAUGUGUCUCAGUCCGACUUCUCCUUCUCUGCCUCCUUUUUCCUCAGUUUUGGUUGAGAAAUGCACAACAGGUGAAGAGCUUGUUUUAUACAUCAGGCAGGAACAAACUGCCAGAGACAUGGAAGAAAUUAAAGUAAUACUUUCCACCACUAACAUGUAUGUGGUGCAACUAGCGUCUUGGGGUGUUAAUCACUGCUAAGAACUACUCCUGGGUUUUUUUGUACAC
Long non-coding RNA from Amphiprion ocellaris (clown anemonefish), 1338 nucleotides. Lineage: Eukaryota; Metazoa; Chordata; Actinopteri; Pomacentridae. The record is from Ensembl.